Molecule: ribosomal RNA, 507 nt
Filed under: uncultured bacterium
Lineage: Bacteria
Description: bacterial SSU rRNA
Rfam family: Bacterial small subunit ribosomal RNA
Source: RNAcentral
UACGAGUUUGAUCAUGGCUCAGAUUGAACGCUGGCGGCAUGCUUUACACAUGCAAGUCGAACGGUAACAGGCCUUCGGGUGCUGACGAGUCGGCGAACGGGUGAGUAAUGCAUCGGAACGUGCCCAAGUCGUGGGGGAUAACGUAGCGAAAGUUACGCUAAUACCGCAUAAGCCCUGAGGGGGAAAGCAGGGGAUCGCAAGACCUUGCGCGAAUGGAGCGGCCGAUGUCAGAUUAGCUAGUUGGUGGGGUAAAAGGCCUACCAAGGCGACGAUCUGUAGCGGGUCUGAGAGGAUGAUCCGCCACACUGGGACUGAGACACGGCCCAGACUCCUACGGGAGGCAGCAGUGGGGAAUUUUGGACAAUGGGCGCAAGCCUGAUCCAGCCAUGCCGCGUGCGGGACGAAGGCCUUCGGGUUGUAAACCGCUUUCAGCCGGAAAGAAAUCGCCAAGGCUAAUAUCCUUGGUGGAUGACGGUACCGGAAGAAGAAGCACCGGCUAACUACGUG